GCGCCUAUGGUGGAAUUGGUAGACACGUUGGAUUUAGGUUCCAAUGCCGCAUGGUAUAAGGGUUCGAGUCCCUUUAGGCGCACCA
RNAcentral lists this transfer RNA (85 nucleotides) under Oscillospiraceae bacterium. RNAcentral's name for it is "tRNA-Leu". It matches the Rfam family "tRNA". Rfam says of the family: Transfer RNA (tRNA) molecules are approximately 80 nucleotides in length. The record is from RNAcentral. Lineage: Bacteria; Bacillati; Bacillota; Clostridia; Eubacteriales; Oscillospiraceae.